CCUACGGGUGGCAGCAGUGGGGAAUAUUGCACAAUGGGGGAAACCCUGAUGCAGCGACGCCGCGUGAGUGAAGAAGUAUCUCGGUAUGUAAAGCUCUAUCAGCAGGGAAGAAAAUGACGGUACCUGUUUAAGAAUCCCUGGAUAAAUACGUGCCAGCAGCGGCGGUAAUACGUAAGGGGCAAGCGUUAUCCGGAUUUACUGGGUGUAAAGGGAGGGUAGACGGCAGGACAAGUCUGGAGGUAAAUGCCGGGGCUUAACCCCGGAAUUGCUUUGGAAACUGUGCAGCUAGAGUGCAGGAGAGGUAAGUGGAAUUCCUAGUGUAGCGGUGAAAUGCGUAGAUAUUAGGAAGAACCCCAGUGGCGAAGGCAGCUUGCUGGACUGUAACUGACGCUGAGGCUCGAAAGCGCGGGUAUCGAACAGGAUUAGAUACCCCUGUAGUC
Molecule: ribosomal RNA, 440 nt
Filed under: uncultured bacterium
Lineage: Bacteria
Description: partial 16S ribosomal RNA
Rfam family: Bacterial small subunit ribosomal RNA
Source: RNAcentral